UUGGCUUGUACAAAGUCAAACUUCUUUAUCUUUGAGAAACUCUAUAGAAAAUGUGCCAACAUCUACAGAACAAAAUACAAAUAGUACGGAAACAUAUUUCAUAAAGAAUCUCAUGAGACUAAUCUCAUGUUUUAGAUGCUAAUAUAUUUUUCUAUAGACGUGGUCAAACUUAAACAAGUUUGACUUUGGACAAGCCCAU
Molecule: microRNA precursor, 199 nt
Filed under: Triticum aestivum (bread wheat)
Lineage: Eukaryota; Viridiplantae; Streptophyta; Magnoliopsida; Poales; Poaceae
Description: MIR1435 microRNA precursor family
Rfam family: MIR1435 microRNA precursor family
Source: Rfam by way of RNAcentral